Molecule: ribosomal RNA, 399 nt
Filed under: Triticum aestivum (bread wheat)
Lineage: Eukaryota; Viridiplantae; Streptophyta; Magnoliopsida; Poales; Poaceae
Description: partial small subunit ribosomal RNA
Source: RNAcentral
AUGGGCAUUCCGAUGUCCAGACUCAGCACAAGCAACAUGAGUUUCUACGGAGUCAUUCCUGGCAAGAAGGCCGCGUCACUCGGCCAGAUUGCUCUUGAUGUGGUUUUUGGUGAUUCCAAGAACUUCCGCAAAGAGAAGCUGACAUUUGAGGUUGUGGAUUUCCAGAGUGCCUACCAUGCUAUUUUGGGCAGGCCAGCUUAUGCACGUUUUAUGGCCCGACCAUGUUACGUGUACCUCAAAUUAAAGAUGCCUGGCCCUAAAGGCGUGAUCACUGUCACUGGUAAUCGCAAGAAGGCAGAAGAAUGCUUCCAGAAAGGCUCAAAGAUCGCCGAUGCUCAGAUGGUGGCAGAAGAGUGGCAGGAACACCAGAGGAAUGCGGACCCGAGAGAUUUGUUGUGA